GAACUGGAAUAACCGAGCGGGUGGAGUCCGGCCCCGCGGUCCGCCGAGAGCGGGUGCCAGCGCGAGCACAGCUACUAGAGCAGGACCUCAACAUUCUAAAACCUUUAUUUAGAUCAAGUAAUAUUACUAUUAGUGGAUUAAGCCUUAACGCCCAGCUGUUCAAGUGUAAGAGAGUGGAAUAAGAGGAAAGGGGAACUAUUCCAGUUACAGAUGUUAUUUCCAUGCAUUUGGACAUAGGUGAAAAAGAAAUUGCAAAGUUGGCAGUGCUUCUUAUCCUUUGUACAUCUAAAGGUUGGGCUCGGCAGUGUAACCACUAAGCAAAGCCUGGCACAGCUGUUCAUUCUUUCUCAUCGCCUUUUAUCUAUGCAGUGCUUUCCCGUUAAUGUGAGUCCUUGAAAUUCUGAAAGCCAAGUGCUUCAUUUCCCAUCAUUCCACACCUAAGCCAAGUUUCUAAAUUGGCUUUGAUGUGUAUUUUAAAUGGCUUGGCAUCCUACUGUCAUCAUUCCCUGGAUCAGUCCCACUCUGUGAAACUGUGAUAUGAUUAUCACUGUCCCAAGUGAAGAGACCAGCUGCAUAUGGAACCAUGAUGAUGUCCUUCUGCAACUUUGGGUUGUUCAUGGAUUACAGUGAUGACUGCUGGGGAGUACAAUGUGAAUGGGGAAGAGAGCAGCAGACCUUCUGAUAGCAUGGAAAUUAUACAACAUUUGAAGGUUCCUGUUUUGGGCAGCAGCCCUGAGAGACUGUGGCUUUUCAGAACUCAUUCCAGAGCUAUGCUAUGGUGUUGAUUGUGUGUCCUUACAAGCCUCUUCUCCCUGUCAUCAUCAUUUCCAGCUCUUCAUUUCAGCUCAAAAUAGAGCUGCUCUGGUACUGCGGUCAUCUUCCCCUUGAACAUGCUUAUCAUUACUACAGGUCCUAAAAGAGAUAAUAAAACACAAUGGAAAAUU
Kogia breviceps (pygmy sperm whale) is the source of this 944-nucleotide non-coding RNA. NCBI's taxonomy places the organism in Eukaryota, Metazoa, Chordata, Mammalia, Artiodactyla, Physeteridae. The record is from RefSeq and is a predicted model, not a curated record.